GGAGGAAAGGGGAAACCCGCUAAUGGAUGGGUCCGCGUCCCAUUAGCUAGAUGGUGGGGUAACGGCCUACCAUGGCGACGAUGGGUAGCCGGCCUGAGAGGGUGACCGGCCACACUGGGACUGAGACACGGCCCAGACUCCUACGGGAGGCAGCAGUGGGGAAUCUUCCGCAAUGGGCGAAAGCCUGACGGAGCGACGCCGCGUGAGCGAAGAAGGCCUUCGGGUCGUAAAGCUCUGUUCUGGGGGAAGAAGGAAGUGACGGUAC
This 265-nucleotide non-coding RNA is filed under the name Desulfofundulus australicus DSM 11792. RNAcentral describes it as "16S rRNA. Bacterial SSU". It matches the Rfam family "Bacterial small subunit ribosomal RNA", at positions 198 to 478 of the family's 1533-position model. Lineage: Bacteria; Bacillati; Bacillota; Clostridia; Eubacteriales; Peptococcaceae. The record is from RNAcentral.